RNAcentral lists this long non-coding RNA (363 nucleotides) under Capsella rubella. Its description in RNAcentral is "long non-coding RNA (CRUB_LNC002418)". Lineage: Eukaryota; Viridiplantae; Streptophyta; Magnoliopsida; Brassicales; Brassicaceae. The record is from RNAcentral.
CGGAGAAGAAGGGAGUGACCGGUUAGGUCAGCUUAAAGAUGAGGACAAGAGACAUAGAAAAGUCAAAGCACGGACGUUGACACCUUUGCAUUGCAUUGCAUCUCUCUUCUCAACUACAAUUUUUUUUUUUUUUUUGCAAGUUGAUAAAUAAUGAUAAUGAAUGGAAAAAUAGACCUACAAGAUAUUCUUUAGUUUCCGAAUAAAAAAGCUUGGGCAACAAAAUCUAGAUUUGCCAUAUUACAUGAUAUACUCCAAAGAGGAAAGGUAUAAUAUAUCGACCUAAUUGUUUGUUUGUUGGCAUGCAUCGUCGACCUCUUCUUACUCUUAGCACACUGAUUAGGUAAUAUACAUGCGCACUUAUAA